ACUUUCUUUCAGGAAAACGUAGAUUUGGGCUUUAGAGUUAGAUGGGAUAGAGCAGAAUCUAGGGGAUUUUUGAGGGACGGUGCUUCCAAGUUUGUGUCACCGGUGUGCUGAGGAAGGGACCGGUCUUGCUGGAAAAAGUCAGAUUGCGUGGUGUUUGGUAGCAAGAAAUACCAGGCGGUAUCCUGGCCGUUUCAGAAACCACAGGAAAGGAAAGAGGCUGGCUUUGCAGUCGGGAGGGCAGGCACUGGAUGGACGUUCUUGUAAUGUUUUCUUACUCUGGGAGAGUCCGUUUUUGUUUGUUUUUUUGUUUGAACUGUGGUAAGCACAUUCCGUUUUUGAUUCCCCAAACUUCAGGACAUUCAUGUUCUGGCGAGGUUUAGGAGACAAACUUCCUUCGUCUUUAGCCAGUUUGCUUAACUUCAUCUGAGUUUGGGUUUCCAAUACUUAUCUACAGGAAUCGCCAUGACCCCAGCUCUGAGGGAGGCAACAGCAAAGGGUAUCAGCUUUUCAUCUUUGCCAAGUACCAUGGAGUCUGACAAGAUGCUCUACAUGGAAAGUCCCAGAACUGUAGAUGAAAAGCUAAAGGGAGACACCUUUUCUCAGAUGCUUGGAUUUCCAACUCCUGAACCUACUCUUAAUACUAAUUUUGUGAAUUUAAAACAUUUUGGCUCCCCUCAGUCUUCAAAACAUUACCAGACUGUUUUUUUAAUGAGAUCUAAUUCUACAUUAAAUAAACACAAUGAGAAUUAUAAACAAAAGAAAUUAGGGGAGCCCAGUUGCAAUAAGCUGAAAAACAUACUGUAUAAUGGCAGCAACAUUCAGCUCAGUAAAAUCUGUCUUUCUCAUUCUGAAGAGUUCAUCAAAAAGGAGCCUCUAUCAGAUACCACGAGCCAGUGCAUGAAAGAUGUACAAAUUAUUCUGGAUUCAAAUAUAACCAAAGACACUAAUGUAGAUAAAGUACAACUACAAAACUGUAAAUGGUAUCAAGAGAAUGCACUUUUGGAUAAAGUUACUGAUGCUGAGAUUAAAAAGGGUUUAUUGCACUGUACUCAAAAGAAAAUUGUACCUGGCCACUCAAAUGUGCCUGUUAGUUCUUCAGCUGCUGAAAAAGAGGAGGAAGUACAUGCUCGUUUACUUCAUUGUGUAAGCAAACAGAAAAUUUUACUUAGCCAGGCUAGAAGAACUCAGAAACAUUUGCAGAUGCUCCUGGCAAAGCAUGUUGUUAAGCACUAUGGUCAGCAGAUGAAAUUGUCUAUGAAACAUCAACUCCCCAAAAUGAAGACAUUUCAUGAACCUACCACAAUUUUGGGUAAUAGUUUACCUAAAUGCACUGAAAUUAAGCCAGAAGUUAACACAUUGACUGCAGAGAAUAAAUUGUGGGAUGAUGCAAAAAAUGGCUUUGCACGGUGUACAGCUGCGGAAAUCCAAAGAUUUGCAUUUUCUGCUACAGGGCUGUUGUCUCAUGUUGAAGAGGGUUUGGAUUCCGAUGCAACUGAUAGCAGCUCUGAUGACGAUUUGGAUGAAUAUACCCUUAGAAAAAAUGUGGCAGUGUAAGUGCAAAAUUAUUAUUAGACUAUUUUCUGUUCCAUAUAUAGCAGCAAUUAUCUUAGUUUCCAGGUAUGUUGACAAGAAAUAGAUUUUCUAAAAUCUUAAUGCUAUAAUCUUUUUUUUUUUUUUUAAUUUUUAUUUUUGAGACAGAGUCUCGCUCUGUCGCCCAGGCUGGAGUGUAGUGGUGCAAUCCUGGCUCACUGCAACCUCCGCCUCCCGGGUUCAAACAAUUUUCCUGCUUUAGCUUCCUGAGUAGCUGGGAUUACAGGUGUGUGCCACCACACCCAGCUAAUUUUUGUAUUUUUCGUAGAGGCAAGGUUUCACCAUGUUGGUCAGGCUGGUCUCGAACUCCUGACCUUGUGAUCCACCCGCCUCGGCCUCCCAAAGUGCUGGGAUUAGAGGCGUGAGCCACCACAUCCAGCCACCAUAAUCUUUUAUGUUAUAAAACUUUUGUUGAAUUUUUUUAAUGUUUUGUUUGUUAAAUUAUUGUGUGUGAGUAUAUACAUACUAUUUAAAAAUAAAUUUACUCAACUUUUCUAUCUAGGAAAAACCCAUACAGGAAUAAUGAAAUUAUUGAGCUAUAAAUAAGCAUAUUUUCUAUUCUUGAAUAGGCUGUGGACAAGGCCUAAUCUUUGUUUAAGUGAUCUAGUUAAUAUGUGUAUCUAACUAAAAAACUUUAGUCUGCACAUAGGGAGCCCUCAUUGUCUUUGGGAGUGUAUCAGUUGAGAGUACAUGUAAGUUGACUUACUACUUUUUUUCCUUAACUCUCUACUCGUACUCAUAGCUUUCAGAACUGACCUUUAACAAUUCAGUUAGUUUUUGCUAGCUUAGUAUAACUAAAACAAAACUAUAAUGUCAGCUGUAAGAUAUCUAUUGAAUGCUUAUUAUGUGCUAGACACUAAGAUUCAGUUGUGAGCAACAUAUUCACAACCUCUGCCUUUUGGGGCAUGUACUUGAGAGAGAGGUAUCUCGAUAUUGAAUAAUAAAAAGCAGAGAAAAAUAGUUUCAGUUAUCACACCGUGAUAACACUACAGACCAACUCUGUCCAAUAGAAACUUCUGAGAUGUUGGAAAUCUUUUAUGUCUAUGCCAUCUAAUAGGCACUAGACUUAUGUGGAUAUUUAACACUUAAGAUUUGGCCAGUGAUACUAAGGAAAUGAGAUUUUAAUUUUAUUUAAUUGACUAAAUUUUAGUUGAAAUGGUCAGAUAAAGCAUAAUUUUUAAUUUAGUUUUCAGGGGAUCUAUUACUGUCCCCAAAUUGAUGUGAAUUAUUGUUUGUAUAUAUAGCAUUUUGGGGGAAAGAAGUCUGUCACACAUGGAUACAUACAGGGGCACAACACUCACUGGGGCUUUUUAAAGGGUGCAGGGUGGGAGGAGGGAGAGGAUCAGGAAAAAUAACUAAUGGGCACUAGGCUUAAAACCUGGGUGAUGAAAUAAUCUGUAUAACAAACCUGCAUGACACAGAUUUAUCUAUGUAACAAACCUGCACUUGUACCCCUGAACUUAAAAGUUAAAAAUAAACUUUUUCAAAUUCUCAAAAAUAAAUGAGAAUUACAGAAUUAGAAGCCAAACACAUUGAUAUUUACUAUGAAAUAGAAGAUCAGUAUAUUAGUUUUUAUAGUGAGAAAUAAAAUAUAAAGCAAAGUAAGCAUUCGGGUCUUCUAGUGUUCUGAUAUCACUGUAAUUGAAAUUUGUUUGCAUGUGGAAUUUAUAGUAGUUAAUAAGCGCAGAUUAUUUUUCUGGCUGGCAUUGUGCUAGUUAUUUAACAUAUGAUAUCUCAUUUAAUUCUUUCAACAACCCUAGCAGGUAGUUGUUAUCCUUAUUUCACUUAAGAAGAAACAGACUCAGCAUGGGUUAAAUAAUUUACCAAUGGUUAAAAAGCCAAGUAAGGGGCAGAAACAGGAUUUUGCUCAUAUAUAUGACUCUAAACACAUACUUAUUCUCUUGUAAUAUGCUGUUUUCUCAACAUUGCAUCACUGAUACUUAGAGCUACAAGAAUUAUUAGGUACAUGUGUUCUGAAAGAAGUCUGAAAAUUUACCAAUUUUUGUAUAUACAAUGCUUGUGAAGUAUUUAAAUAAAAUGUAGUGGGCAC
Molecule: long non-coding RNA, 3640 nt
Filed under: Homo sapiens (human)
Lineage: Eukaryota; Metazoa; Chordata; Mammalia; Primates; Hominidae
Description: non-protein coding lnc-ACADL-1:1
Source: RNAcentral